Molecule: long non-coding RNA, 178 nt
Organism: Phacochoerus africanus (Common warthog)
Lineage: Eukaryota; Metazoa; Chordata; Mammalia; Artiodactyla; Suidae
Exons: 2
Source: RefSeq, a predicted model, not a curated record
AGGAGAUGGAAGGAAACACAAAUAGAGAACUGGCAGAAGCCAUUGCUGAACUUGAGUCUGUAUACCAGAGAGCUUCUCGUCUAAGAUCUACUGAUGACCUUUUGAAAACAUCACACAACAAUAUGUACAGAUCUUGAAGAAAACUCAUAUUGUCUGAAAAAUAAACAGUAAAACUUUA